UUGAAAGGGAAACGAUUGAAGUCAGUCGUGCUGGCGCGAAAUCAACCUUCUCGUCCNUGAGAUCACAUGGCGUGGCGAGCCUCAAAACCGUCACGAAGCGUGAACUCUUGGUGAAAUGGAGCACUUUCGUGUCCGCUGGUUAACAUCAAUUUCGAACGCCAUAAAAAGGCUGGAGGGAUGUGGCUCCUUCGGGAGUGUUAUAACCUUUAGCGGAAUGUGGUGUUCGGGAUUGAGGAUUGCAACGAAUACCUUUAGGGCUGUUCCACCUGGCUUCUCUUUGGUAUCCUGGUGACGACAGCUUGCUGACGUCGUUAGGAUUCGCCUUUGAACAGGCUAGAGUGUGAGCAAAUCGUUAAGGAUGUUGACGUA
This 369-nucleotide ribosomal RNA is filed under the name uncultured Glomeromycotina. Its description in RNAcentral is "LSU rRNA". The record is from RNAcentral. Lineage: Eukaryota; Fungi; Glomeromycota.